AGUGCUGUGAGUAAUGUGUGGGAAGAAGAUGAGAGACAAUGCACUACAAACACAAAGUUUUAUAGUGGUUCGGAGCUAACCCUUGCUCCUACGUCCACUCCCCAAGUCUCACUUGGGAAUUUCACUAUAACUCCCUUGGAUUACAGCCGGUUGUUUUGCAAGCUCACAACCGAACUUGUUGUUUUACGAGCUCACAACGAACUCGGUC
This 208-nucleotide long non-coding RNA is filed under the name Phoenix dactylifera (date palm). RNAcentral's name for it is "long non-coding RNA (PDAC_LNC019106)". The record is from RNAcentral. Lineage: Eukaryota; Viridiplantae; Streptophyta; Magnoliopsida; Arecales; Arecaceae.